RNAcentral lists this ribosomal RNA (202 nucleotides) under uncultured bacterium. RNAcentral describes it as "partial 16S ribosomal RNA". It matches the Rfam family "Bacterial small subunit ribosomal RNA", at positions 328 to 539 of the family's 1533-position model. The record is from RNAcentral.
ACGCUCGACACCUACGUGAGGCAGCAGUGGGGAAUAUUGGGCAAUGGGCGCAAGCCUGACCCAGCAACGCCGCGUGAAGGAAGAAGGCCCUCGGGUUGUAAACUUCUUUUCUUAGGGACGAAGCAAGUGACGGUACCUAAGGAAUAAGCCACGGCUAACUACGUGUCCAGCAGCCGCGGUAAUCUGAGCGGGCUGGCAAGGC